This is a long non-coding RNA of Ostrea edulis (European flat oyster), 568 nucleotides long. RefSeq lists it as uncharacterized. Lineage: Eukaryota; Metazoa; Mollusca; Bivalvia; Ostreida; Ostreidae. The record is from RefSeq and is a predicted model, not a curated record. The transcript has 2 exons.
UGUUGUUUGCUAAUUUCCAUGUCAAGAAUAUUAUUGUUUUACAUUUACGUCAAUUAGACUUGAAUUGAAUAUGAAUGUUUAUACGUACGACUUAUCUUGGUAUGUUUGUGUCGCCAUACUGUCAGGCAAAAGUUCUCGGAAACUAAUCCGGUCUGAACGUUUGUAAUCCACGGUCUUUUUACCACAUUUACGCUGACAAACUGUGUAUGACUCCACACAACGGUGAACGAGCACCACGUGUAAUUGUGUGCACAUGUCACAUUGGUGGUUAACUGUCUGUUAAAAUAAACUUUCAAACGCUGAUCUGAGAGUCCUUAUUGAGGCAGAAUAGUCUUAAUGUUUUCACUGUGCAGAUAGCACGCAUUUAGUGUUACUUGUUUAAUUUCCAAAGCAUGAUAAAUGACAUUUUUAAAAAAAUCAAAAUAAACUCAGUGAAAUGUUUGCUAGCAUAAUGAUAAUAGCCAAUAAACUAAGGAUUUUAGAUUUGUAUUUUAGUGUUCAUUUAUCUAUACUUUACGUAGAAUGAACAAUGUACAUGUAGAUUAAAACGGAUAUGAUGUAUUAUAAA